RNAcentral lists this ribosomal RNA (492 nucleotides) under uncultured bacterium. Its description in RNAcentral is "partial 16S ribosomal RNA". It matches the Rfam family "Bacterial small subunit ribosomal RNA", at positions 29 to 507 of the family's 1533-position model. The record is from RNAcentral.
AGUGAACGCUGGCGGUAGGCCUAACACAUGCAAGUCGAACGGCAGCACAGUAAGAGCUUGCUCUUACGGGUGGCGAGUGGCGGACGGGUGAGGAAUACAUCGGAAUCUACUUUUUCGUGGGGGAUAACGUAGGGAAACUUACGCUAAUACCGCAUACGACCUACGGGUGAAAGCAGGGGUUCUUCGGACCUUGCGCGAUUGAAUGAGCCGAUGUCGGAUUAGCUAGUUGGCGGGGUAAAGGCCCACCAAGGCGACGAUCCGUAGCUGGUCUGGGAGGAUGAUCAGCCACACUGGAACUGAGACACGGUCCAGACUCCUACGGGAGGCAGCAGUGGGGAAUAUUGGACAAUGGGCGCAAGCCUGAUCCAGCCAUACCGCGUGGGUGAAGAAGGCCUUCGGGUUGUAAAGCCCUUUUGUUGGGAAAGAAAAGCAGCAGGUUAAUACCCCGCUGUUCUGACGGUACCCAAAGAAUAAGCACCGGCUAACUUCGUG